UGAACGCUGGCGGCGUGCUUAACACAUGCAAGUCGAACGAUGAAGCCCAGCUUGCUGGGUGGAUUAGUGGCGAACGGGUGAGUAACACGUGAGUAACCUGCCCUUGACUCUGGGAUAAGCCCGGGAAACUGGGUCUAAUACCGGAUAGGAGCGCCUGUCGCAUGACGGGUGUUGGAAAGAUUUUUCGGUCAUGGAUGGACUCGCGGCCUAUCAGCUUGUUGGUGAGGUAAUGGCUCACCAAGGCGACGACGGGUAGCCGGCCUGAGAGGGUGACCGGCCACACUGGGACUGAGACACGGCCCAGACUCCUACGGGAGGCAGCAGUGGGGAAUAUUGCACAAUGGGCGGAAGCCUGAUGCAGCGACGCCGCGUGAGGGAUGACGGCCUUCGGGUUGUAAACCUCUUUCAGUAGGGAAGAAGCGAAAGUGACGGUACCUGCAGAAGAAGCACCGGCUAACUAC
Molecule: ribosomal RNA, 461 nt
Filed under: uncultured bacterium
Lineage: Bacteria
Description: bacterial SSU rRNA
Rfam family: Bacterial small subunit ribosomal RNA
Source: RNAcentral